Molecule: ribosomal RNA, 469 nt
Filed under: uncultured bacterium
Lineage: Bacteria
Description: partial 16S ribosomal RNA
Rfam family: Bacterial small subunit ribosomal RNA
Source: RNAcentral
GACGAACGCUGGCGGCGUGCUUAACACAUGCAAGUCGAACGGUGAAGCGAGUGCUUGCACUCGUGGAUCAGUGGCGAACGGGUGAGUAACACGUGAGUAACCUGCCCAUCACUCUGGGAUAAGCACUGGAAACGGUGUCUAAUACUGGAUACGACCAACCCUUGCAUGGGGUGUUGGUGGAAAGAUUUAUCGGUGAUGGAUGGACUCGCGGCCUAUCAGCUUGUUGGCGGGGUAAUGGCCCACCAAGGCGACGACGGGUAGCCGGCCUGAGAGGGUGGCCGGCCACACUGGGACUGAGACACGGCCCAGACUCCUACGGGAGGCAGCAGUGGGGAAUAUUGCACAAUGGGCGAAAGCCUGAUGCAGCGACGCCGCGUGAGGGAUGACGGCCUUCGGGUUGUAAACCUCUUUCAGCAGGGAAGAAGCGAAAGUGACGGUACCUGCAGAAGAAGCACCGGCUAACUACGUG